GGAUGUAACCGCAUCUGCACAAUUUCCCAACAUGAUCUGCCUGGCUAGGAAGAUGUCCCCCCAUCUCUCACCACUCCCUGUGCAUCCCUCCAGAAGCUGCAUGCUUAGUAAAAGAGGAUAACCUUCCCCAAAUGGAGAUGGACUGGUCUUCAGUCGAGGGUAUAUGAGUAUCUGUGCUCCCCUGCUAGAGCACCCAAACAAGCUCUCAAGGUCCUCUUCUGUGCUCAGAAAUUGGGGCUGAACUCUCUUCUUCUAGAUUUCAGA
This 264-nucleotide small nuclear RNA is filed under the name Erinaceus europaeus (western European hedgehog). RNAcentral's name for it is "7SK RNA". It matches the Rfam family "7SK RNA", at positions 51 to 331 of the family's 331-position model. From Rfam's summary of the family: 7SK was discovered as an abundant small nuclear RNA in the mid-70s but a possible function has only recently been suggested. Two independent studies have found that 7SK RNA binds the CDK9/cyclin T complex (known as elongation factor P-TEFb). The record is from Rfam by way of RNAcentral. Lineage: Eukaryota; Metazoa; Chordata; Mammalia; Eulipotyphla; Erinaceidae.